AGUCGAGCGGUAGCACAGAGAGCUUGCUCUCGGGUGACGAGCGGCGGACGGGUGAGUAAUGUCUGGGAAACUGCCUGAUGGAGGGGGAUAACUACUGGAAACGGUAGCUAAUACCGCAUAACGUCGCAAGACCAAAGUGGGGGACCUUCGGGCCUCAUGCCAUCAGAUGUGCCCAGAUGGGAUUAGCUAGUAGGUGGGGUAACGGCUCACCUAGGCGACGAUCCCUAGCUGGUCUGAGAGGAUGACCAGCCACACUGGAACUGAGACACGGUCCAGACUCCUACGGGAGGCAGCAGUGGGGAAUAUUGCACAAUGGGCGCAAGCCUGAUGCAGCCAUGCCGCGUGUGUGAAGAAGGCCUUCGGGUUGUAAAGCACUUUCAGCGGGGAGGAAGGCGAUGAGGUUAAUAACCUUGUCGAUUGACGUUACCCGCAGAAGAAGCACCGGCUAACUCCGUGCCAGCAGCCGCGGUAAUACGGAGGGUGCAAGCGUUAAUCGGAAUUACUGGGCGUAAAGCGCACGCAGGCGGUCUGUCAAGUCGGAUGUGAAAUCCCCGGGCUCAACCUGGGAACUGCAUUCGAAACUGGCAGGCUAGAGUCUUGUAGAGGGGGGUAGAAUUCCAGGUGUAGCGGUGAAAUGCGUAGAGAUCUGGAGGAAUACCGGUGGCGAAGGCGGCCCCCUGGACAAAGACUGACGCUCAGGUGCGAAAGCGUGGGGAGCAAACAGGAUUAGAUACCCUGGUAGUCCACGCCGUAAACGAUGUCGAUUUGGAGGUUGUGCCCUUGAGGCGUGGCUUCCGGAGCUAACGCGUUAAAUCGACCGCCUGGGGAGUACGGCCGCAAGGUUAAAACUCAAAUGAAUUGACGGGGGCCCGCACAAGCGGUGGAGCAUGUGGUUUAAUUCGAUGCAACGCGAAGAACCUUACCU
This 925-nucleotide ribosomal RNA is filed under the name Klebsiella pneumoniae. Its description in RNAcentral is "bacterial SSU rRNA". It matches the Rfam family "Bacterial small subunit ribosomal RNA", at positions 60 to 976 of the family's 1533-position model. Lineage: Bacteria; Pseudomonadati; Pseudomonadota; Gammaproteobacteria; Enterobacterales; Enterobacteriaceae. The record is from RNAcentral.